AGAGCGAACGCUGGCGGCAGGCCUAACACAUGCAAGUCGAGCGCCCGUAGCAAUACGGGAGCGGCAGACGGGAUAGUAACACGUGGGAACGCGCCCUUCGGUUCGGAAUAACUCAGGGAAACUUGAGCUAAUACCGGAUACGCCCUUACGGGGAAAGAUUUAUUGCCGAAGGAACGGCCCGCGUCCGAUUAGCUAGUUGGUGAGGUAAUGGCUCACCAAGGCGACGAUCGGUAGCUGGUCUGAGAGGAUGACCAGCAUCACUGGGACUGAGACACGGCCCAGACUCCUACGGGAGGCAGCAGUGGGGAAUAUGGACAAUGGGCGCAAGCCUGAUCCAGCCAUGCCGCGUGGAUGAUGAAGGCCUUAGGGUUGUAAAGUCCUUUUAACGGGGAAGAUAAUGACGGUACCCGUAGAAUAAGCCCCGGCUAACUCGUGCCAGCAGCCGC
Molecule: ribosomal RNA, 446 nt
Filed under: uncultured bacterium
Lineage: Bacteria
Description: SSU rRNA
Rfam family: Bacterial small subunit ribosomal RNA
Source: RNAcentral